CCGUGACUCACAAAUCUUUCCUUAACGUUCCUUUCGCCUCCGGAUCGAAGACUUUGAACGCGUUGAGGAUGGUCUCCUCCGGGUCGGCACCUGAAGACGAACAGAUGAAAAGUUCAAAGAAAGGUGUUUGUUUAUGGCGGAGGAAUAUGUCAUUGUCCCCCGCGGUGCUAAAAAUAUGACCCGUGAGGAUAUUAUUUUCUACCUGAGACUGAUUUUCAUAUCGUCUGGAUGCUCCUGCACACUGAGGCUGGUGCACGGUGACCGGGAGGGUGCAACGUGGACUAAAACCGUUGGUUUAGAUGGAUACCUUCACUCAUUGAUAAAGGUAUAAUUAAUGGAGGAAAUCACACAGUGUUCAUCUGCACAUAACCUUGCUUCUAACACUGUGGUGUCAGCAGGGGGAGCACCUGGCACCAGUGUUGAAGCACUACAGCAGCCGGACCAGAGGAGUGACUUCUUUUAUGCAGACAAAGAGCAGCAUCGUGCUUUAUUAAGUUAAACAAAGUAAAACACCUGACAGUUUAUAUCUGCUUCCAAUGUUUUCUCUCAUUAUAGUUAUGAAGAUACAUUUCAAUUUCAUAAAGAAAAUUUGGUUUUACUUCAA
This is a long non-coding RNA of Pseudoliparis swirei, 604 nucleotides long. RefSeq lists it as uncharacterized. The transcript is spliced from 2 exons. The record is from RefSeq and is a predicted model, not a curated record. NCBI's taxonomy places the organism in Eukaryota, Metazoa, Chordata, Actinopteri, Perciformes, Liparidae.